UCUCAGAGCUUCCUGCAGGACUCAGCAUCUGGUUUUUGCAGUGCCAGGUGUGGAUUGAGAUUCAGCCUUGUAAGACUUACUCACUGAAAACUGGAAUUUGCUUGGUUCCAAGAACAAAGUGUGCUUUGUACACGUGCUGGUGCCAUUUGUGGCUGAGAAGAACUUUCUCGGAUUGCUUUGGAAUGAUGAAGAGUAUGUCUCUCAUCCAAGAACUGAAAUGAUACCUUCAGAAGUUCUUUCAGCAACCUGGGUUUUUCAGAAUACUGGAGAGUUAAAGGAUAUGAAUAUUUCACCUGGGCCAGCCACUCUUUUACAACUAGGCCAGUCUCAUCAAGUUCCCACCAGGAAAGGGAUCAGAAUUUCCACUCCAUAGCAAAAGGAAGUGGAACUGGAAACAGUGUGAAGAUUUUCUUCAAGAAAAGGAUAAACUUUUCCACUGAAGCACAUCCUGGUACUGCCGACCUAUCUGAGGAAAAGCCCCAGAUCCUUCUGGCCUCCACCGAGCAAUCCUUCUCUAGAGAAGCCAGGAUUCAGCGGAAAUUCAGCAACGGGAUGGAAUUGCCGGGGGAAAUCAUCAUUUUUAACAAGCACCUCAGGAAAUGCUGACUCAUGCUGACAUUUAACGACCACACAAAUAGACAAACAAAGCAGACCUGCAGACCAGCAGACCAACAGACCAGCGACAGCAGAACGAUGCGAGACAGAAAGAGAGGAAUGACGUGGCAGAGAGAGAAGAGGGACCUCUGGAUGCUGAGGGGAG
Long non-coding RNA from Symphalangus syndactylus (siamang), 760 nucleotides. RefSeq lists it as uncharacterized. NCBI's taxonomy places the organism in Eukaryota, Metazoa, Chordata, Mammalia, Primates, Hylobatidae. The record is from RefSeq and is a predicted model, not a curated record.